UACAUGAAGCCUGGAAUCGCUAGUAAUCGCAGGUCAGCAUACUGCGGUGAAUACGUUCCCGGGUCUUGUACACACCGCCCGUCACACCAUGGGAGCCGGAAAUGCCCGAAGCCAGUGACCCAACCCUUAGGGAGGGAGCUGUCGAAGGUGGAGCCGGUAACUGGGGUGAAGUCGUAACAAGGUACC
RNAcentral lists this ribosomal RNA (186 nucleotides) under uncultured bacterium. Its description in RNAcentral is "partial 16S ribosomal RNA". It matches the Rfam family "Bacterial small subunit ribosomal RNA", at positions 1317 to 1500 of the family's 1533-position model. The record is from RNAcentral.